UUCCCUGUGGCUCAGUUGGUAGAGCAUGGUGUGUGCAACGCCAGGGUUGUGGGUUUGAUUCCCACGGGGGAUU
RNAcentral lists this transfer RNA (73 nucleotides) under Salmo salar (Atlantic salmon). It matches the Rfam family "tRNA". From Rfam's summary of the family: Transfer RNA (tRNA) molecules are approximately 80 nucleotides in length. Their secondary structure includes four short double-helical elements and three loops (D, anti-codon, and T loops). Further hydrogen bonds mediate the characteristic L-shaped molecular structure. tRNAs have two regions of fundamental functional importance: the anti-codon, which is responsible for specific mRNA codon recognition, and the 3' end, to which the tRNAs corresponding amino acid is attached (by aminoacyl-tRNA synthetases). tRNAs cope with the degeneracy of the genetic code in two manners: having more than one tRNA (with a specific anti-codon) for a particular amino acid; and 'wobble' base-pairing, i.e. permitting non-standard base-pairing at the 3rd anti-codon position. The record is from Rfam by way of RNAcentral. Lineage: Eukaryota; Metazoa; Chordata; Actinopteri; Salmoniformes; Salmonidae.